This 253-nucleotide ribosomal RNA is filed under the name uncultured Oscillospira sp. RNAcentral describes it as "partial 16S ribosomal RNA". It matches the Rfam family "Bacterial small subunit ribosomal RNA", at positions 524 to 776 of the family's 1533-position model. Lineage: Bacteria; Bacillati; Bacillota; Clostridia; Eubacteriales; Oscillospiraceae. The record is from RNAcentral.
UACGUAGGGGGCAAGCGUUAUCCGGAUUUACUGGGUGUAAAGGGAGCGUAGACGGUGAUGCAAGUCAGACGUGAAAUUCCAGGGCUCAACCCUGGAACUGCGUUUGAAACUGUUCUUCUUGAGUGAUGGAGAGGCAGGCGGAAUUCCGUGUGUAGCGGUGAAAUGCGUAGAUAUACGGAGGAACACCAGUGGCGAAGGCGACUUUCUGGACUGUACCUGACGCUGAGGCGCGAAAGCGUGGGUAGCGAACGGG